This 467-nucleotide ribosomal RNA is filed under the name uncultured bacterium. RNAcentral's name for it is "SSU rRNA". It matches the Rfam family "Bacterial small subunit ribosomal RNA", at positions 26 to 518 of the family's 1533-position model. The record is from RNAcentral.
AGGACAAACGCUGGCGGCGUGCCUAAGACAUGCAAGUCGAACGGUGGGGCUUGCCCCACAGUGGCGGACGGGUGAGGAACGCGUGGGCAACCUGCCCCGGGGUGGGGGAUAACACUCAGAAAUGGGUGCUAAGACCGCAUACGAGUGGGGGACGGAAGGUUCCUUAGGGAAAGCCUUCGGGCUGCCCUGGGAGGGGCCCGCGUCGGAUUAGCUAGUUGGUGUGGUAACGGCGCACCAAGGCUGCGAUCCGUAGCUGGUCUGAGAGGACGACCAGCCACACUGGGACUGAGACACGGCCCAGACUCCUACGGGAGGCAGCAGUUAGGGAUUUUCACAAUGGGCGCAAGCCUGAUGGAGUGACGCCGCGUGCAGGACGACGCCUUUCGGGGUGUAAACUGCUUUUCUUCGGGACGAGAACGGACGGUACCGGAGGAAGAAGCCUCGGCUAACUACGCGCCAGCAGCCGC